Regulatory RNA element from Neotoma lepida (desert woodrat), 46 nucleotides. It matches the Rfam family "Histone 3' UTR stem-loop". Rfam says of the family: The mRNAs of metazoan histone genes lack a poly-A tail. 3' end processing occurs at a site between a highly conserved stem-loop (modelled by this family) and a purine rich region around 20 nts downstream (the histone downstream element, or HDE). The record is from Rfam. NCBI's taxonomy places the organism in Eukaryota, Metazoa, Chordata, Mammalia, Rodentia, Cricetidae.
ACAACGGCUCUUUUCAGAGCCACCCACACUUUCAGCAGAAAAAGCU